RNAcentral lists this ribosomal RNA (468 nucleotides) under uncultured bacterium. RNAcentral describes it as "partial 16S ribosomal RNA". It matches the Rfam family "Bacterial small subunit ribosomal RNA", at positions 28 to 507 of the family's 1533-position model. The record is from RNAcentral.
GACGAACGCUGGCGGCGUGCUUAACACAUGCAAGUCGAACGGAAAGGCCCUGCUUUUGUGGGGUGCUCGAGUGGCGAACGGGUGAGUAACACGUGAGUAACCUGCCCUUGACUUUGGGAUAACCUCAGGAAACUGGGGCUAAUACCGGAUAGGAGCUCCUGCUGCAUGGUGGGGGUUGGAGAGUUUCGGCGGUUGGGGAUGGACUCGCGGCUUAUCAGCUUGUUGGUGGGGUAGUGGCUUACCAAGGCUUUGACGGGUAGCCGGCCUGAGAGGGUGACCGGCCACAUUGGGACUGAGAUACGGCCCAGACUCCUACGGGAGGCAGCAGUGGGGAAUAUUGCACAAUGGGCGGAAGCCUGAUGCAGCAACGCCGCGUGCGGGAUGACGGCCUUCGGGUUGUAAACCGCUUUCGCCUGUGACGAAGCGUGAGUGACGGUAAUGGGUAAAGAAGCACCGGCUAACUACGUG